This is a non-coding RNA of Nicotiana tabacum (common tobacco), 530 nucleotides long. Lineage: Eukaryota; Viridiplantae; Streptophyta; Magnoliopsida; Solanales; Solanaceae. The record is from RefSeq and is a predicted model, not a curated record.
CGAAGGAGCGGGCUUUGCAUAGCCCGAAGCCCACGCUGUUUUCUCUUUGGUAAUUUAGUACUAUCCACAUCUCCUUCGGCUUUCUCUCUUCUCCUGCAAAACUGUAUCUAUAGCCUGAUCAGAGCCUCCCCAUGGCAGAAUCUAGAGGAAAUGAAGCCCCAACCUCUACUGCUGAUGCAAAAGAUGUAAAAGCACCAAAUUUGAUAGAGCGAGCAAAGGAAGAGAUAGAGGCUAUGAUUCACCACGACAAAAAACCUCAGCAUCACAAGGAAACUCACGGAACUAGUGAUGACAUUGAUGAGAGCACCCCAGUUGAUGAAGUUAAAGGACCAAAUGUAUUUGAACGAGUCAAGGAAGAGAUUGAGGCUGUUGUUCAAAGUAUUCACCCUAAGAAAUGAUCCAACUCUUGUUAAAUUAAUUGUUCUCAAUGUCAUCAUAUUUACUAACAAUGUUGGUUGGUUUCCCUGUUUCCUUCAGAUGUACAAUAGCUAAUUGACAUAUAUAAUAGUACUGAUUUCUUGGUCUUUUCA